This 253-nucleotide ribosomal RNA is filed under the name uncultured bacterium. RNAcentral's name for it is "partial 16S ribosomal RNA". It matches the Rfam family "Bacterial small subunit ribosomal RNA", at positions 524 to 776 of the family's 1533-position model. The record is from RNAcentral.
UACGUAGGGUGCAAGCGUUGUCCGGAAUUAUUGGGCGUAAAGAGCUCGUAGGCGGCUUGUCGCGUCGGCUGUGAAAACCUGGGGCUCAACCCCGGGCCUGCAGCCGAUACGGGCAAGCUAGAAUUCGGUAGGGGAGACUGGAAUUCCUGGUGUAGCGGUGGAAUGCGCAGAUAUCAGGAGGAACACCGGUGGCGAGGGCGGGUCUCUGGGCAGUAACUGACGCUGAGGAGCGAAAGCGUGGGGAGCGAACAGG